Molecule: ribosomal RNA, 253 nt
Filed under: uncultured bacterium
Lineage: Bacteria
Description: partial 16S ribosomal RNA
Rfam family: Bacterial small subunit ribosomal RNA
Source: RNAcentral
UACGGAGGGGGCUAGCGUUGUUCGGAAUUACUGGGCGUAAAGCGCACGUAGGCGGCUUUGUAAGUUAGAGGUGAAAGCCCAGGGCUUAACCCUGGAAUUGCCUUUAAGACUGCAUCGCUAGAAUCGUGGAGAGGUGAGUGGAAUUCCUGGUGUAGCGGUGAAAUGCGCAGAUAUCAGGAAGAACACCCGUGGCUAAGGCGGCUCUCUAGUACGGUACUGACGCUGAGACGCGAAAGCGUGGGGAGCGAACAGG